AGCGUCAGCCCUUCCAGCGCCCCCAGUGCCGCAGUCUUGCGCAUCAGGCCGUAAACGCCGAAGCUCAG
RNAcentral lists this transfer RNA (68 nucleotides) under Kryptoperidinium foliaceum. Lineage: Eukaryota; Dinophyceae; Peridiniales; Kryptoperidiniaceae. The record is from RNAcentral.